This 481-nucleotide ribosomal RNA is filed under the name uncultured bacterium. RNAcentral describes it as "bacterial SSU rRNA". It matches the Rfam family "Bacterial small subunit ribosomal RNA", at positions 28 to 507 of the family's 1533-position model. The record is from RNAcentral.
GAUGAACGCUGGCGGCGUGCCUAACACAUGCAAGUCGAACGAAGCACUUUUUUACGAUCCCUUCGGGGUGACGAAUUUGUGACUGAGUGGCGGACGGGUGAGUAACGCGUGGGAAACCUGCCUUGUACCGGGGGAUAGCAGUUGGAAACGACUGAUAAUACCGCAUAAGCGCACAGUAUCACAUGAUACAGUGUGAAAAACUCCGGUGGUACAAGAUGGUCCCGCGUCUGAUUAGCUUGUUGGCGGGUAAUGGCCCACCAAGGCGACGAUCAGUAGCCGACCUGAGAGGGUGACCGGCCACAUUGGGACUGAGACACGGCCCAAACUCCUACGGGAGGCAGCAGUGAGGAAUAUUGGGUCAAUGGGGGGAAACCCUGAUGCAGCGACGCCGCGUGAGCGAAGAAGUAUUCGGUAUGUAAAGCUCUAUCAGCAGGGAAGAAAAAUGACGGUACCUGACUAAGAAGCACCGGCUAAAUACGUG